CCUGCCAGAUAUUGACCCCCUGGUGGAGGCUCUGCUCAUCUGUCACGGACGUGAACCUCAGGAAAUCCUCCAGCCAGAGUUCUUUGAGGCCGUAAACGAGGCCAUUUUGCUUUGCAGGGAAGACACUCAGUGUUGUUGGGGGAAGACUCCUAUAAGUAUAUAGAUUAUUGAGAGAGCUGGCUUUUUCAUGUUAAGGCUGUCUGUCCGCCUGUUCAAGAACACAUAUGUUUUUACCAUUUGUUCAGCUUUUGUGAUCUGAAGGGAGUGUUGUAUAUAUUUUUCACACAUUGGAUUUACACAUUUCUUGUUCCUAAUGUUUUGUUGUAUUUGUGUUUUGAAUGUUUUCACUGUCAUAAAU
RNAcentral lists this small RNA (358 nucleotides) under Pongo abelii (Sumatran orangutan). RNAcentral's name for it is "processed transcript". Lineage: Eukaryota; Metazoa; Chordata; Mammalia; Primates; Hominidae. The record is from RNAcentral.